AUUGCGCUCGCCCCUGCGCCGCUAUUUACUUUGAAACCCGAUUAGAACGGACCGUCUAUUGUCGCUAAAGAGGAAGAAACCCCGGUUAGACCGGGUGAAAAGCUAAGGGCGAGCAGAACGCAUGUGAAAUAAAUAGUGGCGCGGGGGUGAAAGGGGCUCGAGUCGAACCCCUGAAAGUUUUGGGACGCUUUGUUCAAAGCUGUAGUCUUAAUUAGGCUACGAACAUUGGCUGAUCCCCGAUAUGUCAACGGUUACACAUGCAGCACACAUUUCACCGCUUUUAAUGAUUCCAUCACCAAGUAAUCCAAAUCACACCGAUCAACAAAAUGAUCAGCAAUAAAAUGCACACAUUCGUCGCGUGCAGUUCUCAAUGAACGGCGCAAAAGACGAAGUAAAAGUACCGGGAUGCGCGCGAGCUGCUGCCAGUUUGGCCACUGUAAUAGCGGCGUCUAUAUAAUGGGAUGCGAUAUCAUGACGGAGAGAGGGAAUAAAAGGUCGAUAGCUUAGACACAGAGGGCGAAGCCUAAUGUUUUGACACUUAAAAGGUGAUUCUGAAUGUUAUUGUUUACCGGUGUUGUUUUUAUUGAUCCAAUAAGGGCGGAAGUUCCUGCUGUAAUGGCAAAGCAAACCGGCUUUUUUUGUGCAUGAAUACUGAAGCUCGCGCUUCACUACAGGCUUUACAGGCUUAUAAUGUCUGGAUCGGGCUGCCAUCUAGCGUACAGUAGCUAGACAAUUACAGGGAAAUAGGAGUGAAUAAUUUAUUGUUAGCGGGUAUUUUACAAAAUAUUGCUUAGGACUUUUUUUUUUCUUUUUUUUUUUUCUUAGCAUUUAAUGAGGAUUGCUUUAUUGAUGUAUUUUUGUUAAUUAAAAAAAGAAGAAGAAGCAUUUUGACUGUAUUUCCGGCAAUUUAGUUAAACCUUAAUGCUUUUGGUAAAAUAAGAUAUUCAGAUCAUUUGGCGUAAGUUCGAUUAUUAGUUCGAAAGCAUUGUUUUUAUUCAAUUAAUUGUUUAUUUUUUUAGGCUUUAUGAUUUAUAUUGUGUAAACACCGAUAUUUAGACGAUUGUAAAUAUAAUACCUCACGUAAACGCGUACACGGACAAAAUUCCAGCGAAGCAUUAUUUCGGAAGUUAGACAUUAAUGAGGCUCAAAACCUCGCUGUUUUUGGAGAAAGAGUGUUUGCGCAUCGUCUCUUCUGUUCCGCAAACGCACCGCGCUGCCCUCUGUCCUCGGCACACAAAAAAAAGGUGAAACGAACGGGAUUAAAUCAGACAAAGGGCAAACUUCUGUAAGUGUAUCAUCAAGAUUUUACUCCACAGACUGGGAAGAGAGCGAGGGAGAGGCGAGAGAGAGGGAGAGGGGCAGCGAAUGGGAACGCAAGGCGAAGGCUGGGAAACAGCGAGAGAGAGAGAGGGAGAAGAGAAGAAGGAGAAGUGGACACCGCUGCAAACACACGCCGCUACACUGCAACACCGUUCCCUGGAAUUCUGCUCGUUUCGCAGAGGUUUGGCUAACAGUGAAACUUGAGCAGCUGCAGCAUGUUCUUCAGCACGGAUAUGGAAAGCUGUGGUCACAUGUCACAUAAUGACAGCUCUGUUAGUUGCUGUCUGUUUGUUACGAAAAUGCACUGACCUCAUCAACAUAAUCAGCGGCUAUGAUUGUAUUGUUUAUAAUGAUAACAUGAACUGAAGAAUGCUUGCUAAGACAUCCAAUAAAUAUGUUUGAAUGGGAAUGAUUGUAAUUAUUAUUUUUUUUUGUGAGUCACUGCUUCGUAAAAGCUCUACUUGUGCUUGCUAAAUUGUCUGUUUUAUCUGUCUGCCAUCUCUGACAUUCUUCCAGCAGUAUAUAUGCUUAGGUCAUAAAAUUGGGGCUCAGAGUGGAUUGAAAAUGUUCAUGUUAAAAUGGCAGACGGCAACAGAGUUCACAUAUGUUCAAAGGUAAAAUAUAGAACCUUGAAGAGUCCUGUCCUCCGAGGGAACCAUUAAACUGAAACUCUUUUGGAUCAGCCUGAAACUCUUUUCUUAUCCAAACUAAAACCUUUUGGAAGCUGAGAAGCCUUGGCUAUACAGAAGAACCAUAUUAAGAAUCAGUACAGGAACACUAACUGAAAAACAAACACAGGAAGUGCUAUGCCUACAUCUCUGUUUAUGCUCUGUCCUUCUCUCACACUGUACAAUGUGUGUGUCCUCUUUCACCUCUCUCUAUCAGCUCUAUCAGAUCUGAGCAGGAAAGAAUGCAGCAGUCCCAAACACACACAUUCCUCUAGGCUAGCUUUAUAAUAUUCCCGUCCGAAACAUGCAUUACAGCCUUAAUUUCAUGUGAAAUAAUAAUAAAAAAGCACAAAAUGUAUUCACAGCUGUGUUCUUCCUGGGCUUCCUGCAUAACAACUGCAUUGUUUUGGGAAAUGUACUGUAUAUUAAGUGUCUUGAAUACUUGUGUAGAGAUAUAUAAACUACAUAAACAACUAUAAUGUAAAUACUGAGCAUGUAUAUACUGUUCCAACUGGAUUGCAGUAGUACAUUUGUAUAAAUGUAUAUCUAGAAGGAACACAAGUGCAUGUUGGCACAAGUGUAUGCUGACAUCAGGUCUCUCUCGUGUGUAACAGGGGAAGAUAAAUUCAUUUGUGCUGGAUUGCCAAUGAGAUUUUCUUUCUGAUUGUGACAGUAUGUACAUAACUGACCAGUAAAUGUUUUUUCUGUAUAGUUUCCAUGUAAGCGGAUGUAGAAACGUCCAUGCAUAGUAACUGGGUUCAGAAGUAAACACACUGACGUUAUUAUCAUUUGUUUUUAUAAAACACAAAGGCUAAAUAAAAAAGUCAACAAACAUAACGGAGAUGGAAAUAAGAAAGAGAUAGCAAAACAAUAAAAGCCCAAAUUGAAAAAAAAGGGUAAAGAAAGUAAGUAAGAAUAAAGAUAAAUUAAUUCAGCCACAUCUUUUAUUAUCCUAAUCAUGACUGCACAGUAUGUGGCUGCUAAAUAUCUCCUCAUAUUACAAAAUGAUAAUUGGCUUACUUAAUGUUCACUAUUAUCAUUUGAUGCUAAUGUCAUGUCUGACAGAGCACAGAGAACGAAUAUGAUACCACUUGGUCCCUCGUUGUGUCCUGGACUUUUCCUUCUAGGUAUUUGUGACUCAGCCGUGCCAGCAUGAACAAAAGCUAUGCUUCUUCAUCUAUUAGAGCAUGGUUAAAGGUAAGUGGCACCCCCUAUUAGGAUGACAAGGAAAUUAAUGGUACAGUCUGUCCCCUGGUUGUGCAUUACUUAUUUAUAAGUUAACAACCUUUCCUUGCUUUGGCAUGUCUGUUACAAUUUUUGAGAGCACAGGUGAACCCCUCAUACACCUGAGAUACGACUGGCACGAAAGCAAAUAUACAGUGUAUUUACUGAUAAUCUCUAAAAAAAUAAAAAAAUAAAAAAAUGUUACUGUGACUGAGCCUUUAGUGUAUUUGUACAGGACACUACUGAAGGAAACAUCAUGUAUUCGAAUGAAAUAAACUGACCACAAGCAUGUACAUCUUGUCGUUUCCUUUUUUUUCUCUCCCUUUGUCUGAUAUCACAUGGUUUAUCGAGGGCAUUAUUGUGUACAGCUCUCAAAGGACCAAGAUGCUUCCCUUUUGCGGAUCACGUGGCAGGAUCAUGUGUGUAGUUAUGAAUUUCUUAUUGGCUGGCAACAAUGUGGCAUGUAUUACUGGAUUUUUUAUGGCAUGGGGUGGGGUGUCUAUGGGCAUAACCUUUGUAUAGGAGCAUAGCUAAGCUUUUAACCAUUCGUGCUGAUGAGGGGACCGCAGCCCUAAUUUUGUGGGUGAUGACACCUGCCCUUUUCAGCAGGCUGCAGGAGAAGCCAUGGGAAUGCUCGCAUGCAACAGAGGGUCUGAGCAUUGGAACAAUGUGCGUGAAUGUGCUGCCACAUGAACAAUGCAACACCACAUGGUGAGGUGAUGGUGGGUGGAAAAGAGAUCGCUGUUUUCAAUGCCCACCCCCACUGUGAUUCCCCUCUCUCUUUCUCUCUCCCCUCCUGUAGUCCCCUCCUCUUUGGUGGACCUUCCUAUAAAUCUUUUCUGUCAUACCUGUUUUUUGUACAGUGUGAAUAAGUAAACAGCAAAUCCCAAUGUCCUGCCUUUAUGAGGACACAGCCCAGUAGACACAAGACUUACUGGAUACAGGAUUAUGUCCUGUAUCAUGCAGUAGCUGUAUUUAUAAUCUGUCUUUCAUCCCUCCGUGUUCACACACAGGACUAUGGGGUUGCAGCUGUGUGGCAGCUGCCUUUACUGUGUGUCUAGCCUUGUGUGGAUCUUGCCUUGCAGAAAGCCAGCGUUUGCCGCUUCCCACCUCCUUCCCAGAGACUCCCAGUCGUAAUAGACGGUAAUGGCCUAAGACAAAUCAACCCAUUUCUUGUAAAAAUAGCAGCAAAUAACCCCUGACUUCAUGUCACGAGCAGAAGUGGAGAGGCGCUCGAUUCUGAAGGCCUCACAACGGGCAUGAACCUCAUGAGGAGGCUUGGGCUAUGUUUGAACAAAGCCAUAAGUCUGGAAUACUUACAAUUUUCAACUCGGGAUGGAUUGGUAACGAUCGUCUGUCUGACUUCUCAGGUUAAUCCUGGUUUUCCUUCUUAUGAUGACUCAGGCAAGAAGCUACUCUGUCUUUAACCAUAGUUUAAACAUUUAUUAAACUACAUUCACUGUAACUACUGAUAUUAGCUAUUUCAAUCUCUGUAAACAUAAUGGAGAAAUAAAAGGAUCAUAUGGCAAGAAUCCCUCUGAAUGGAGGUCUAAGUAUGAGUGGACUGCCUGGAAGGAUGUGGUUGCUGUGUGGCAGACCUGGGCAGAGGUUCAGAGGGUUUGUAGUGCUCUGGCCAGGGCUCCCCAUGUGCUCCCUCGGGGACCUGGAAACACACACACACACACACACACACACACACACACACACACAUGAGGGUUGACUCCAAGUAACAUUACAAAUCUUACAUUAUUUCUUGUAAUCUUUCACAUUUGAAAAUAAUGACAGGAAAGUAAAUUCUAAAUAAUACAUGGAAACAACAUCAACAAAAGUUGAACUAAACUGAUCCGUUAUGUAAAGG
This is a long non-coding RNA of Ictalurus furcatus (blue catfish), 5070 nucleotides long. RefSeq lists it as uncharacterized. The record is from RefSeq and is a predicted model, not a curated record. NCBI's taxonomy places the organism in Eukaryota, Metazoa, Chordata, Actinopteri, Siluriformes, Ictaluridae. The transcript has 4 exons.